This 2991-nucleotide ribosomal RNA is filed under the name uncultured archaeon. RNAcentral's name for it is "bacterial LSU rRNA". It matches the Rfam family "Archaeal large subunit ribosomal RNA". The record is from RNAcentral.
AGGAGUUCUGUAAGCCGUAUAGUGGAUGACUAGGCUUGGAAGCUGUUGAAGGGCGUGGCAAGCUGCGAUAAGCCACGGCGAGCCGCAUGCAGGCGUUGAACCGUGGAUCCCUGAACUGUUCCGCAAGGAACGGGAACGCCGGGAAUUGAAAUAUCUUAGUACCGGCAGGAAAAGAAAGCAAAAGCGAUUCUGUUAUUAGGGUCGACCGAAGGCAGAAGAGGACAAACCGAAUCUUCAUUCGCGAGUUUGGAGAGAUGUGGGGUUUGGACCAGGUUACAGACUUUUAAUGCGAGCAGAAGUGAACUGGAAUGUUCCGCCACAGAGCGUGAAAGCCGCGUAAGUGAAGCAUUGAAAGCUGAGUGCCAGGUAUCCGGAGUAUGGCGCGUUGGAUUUCGCGUCAGAAUAUGCGAGUCAUUAACUCGUAAUCCUAAAUACUAUCCAAGUCCGAUAGCUCACUAGUACCGUGAGGGAAAGUUGAAAAGAACCCUUAACAGGGGGUGAAAAGCGCCUGAAACUAUACGGUCAUGUUCUGGCAAGGCACGGAAGAGUUAAAGCUUCCCGAAGUGAAAACCGGAAACGGUUGGAGCGAGGGUAAGUGAUUCAGUGUCUUGUCGUUCGUCCAGAAACACGAGCGAGGGAGUUGACGGUUGUGGCGAGGUUAAUCCCUUACGGGGAGAAGCCGCAGCGAAAGCGAAUGCCCGCAGUGCCUUAAGUGGUAUGAGGGGCAGAGUGUGAACAGCGCUUGAGUCACAACAGUCAGACCUGAAACAAGGUGAUCUAUUCCUUUGCAGGUUGAAAUCCCCCUUCCGGGGGAUGGAGGACCGCAACCGGUGUUAGUCCAACUACUCGGGUGACAUGGGAAUAGGAGUAAAAUGCCAAUCGAACCUUGUGAUAGCAGGUUCCUUCCGAAGAAGCUCUUAGGCUUGCCCUUGCGGAGGCUUGAUUGUGGGGUAGAGAUACUGAUUAAAAAGUACUGUUUGGAAACUUACAGCUUUUUUAUCAAACUCCCAAUCUGCAAUCGCCUUAGAUGCAAGGAGUAGGGGUGUGUGGGGUAAGCCCCACAUCCUGAAGGGGAACAACCCAGCCUUGGGUUAAGGCCCAUAAGUGCGGAUUAAGUGUAAAGCUGAAAAGUGUCUUCUACCUAAAACAAUGUGGAGGUCGGCUUAGAAGCAGCCACCCUUUAAAGAAAGCGUAACAGCUCACACAUCUAGGUAUAAGGCCUUGAAAAUAAUCCGGACUAAAAUCCGCCGCCGAUACCCAGGAAUGCAUCCAGUGGGUGCAAUUUAGUAGGAAGGUGCUCUGGUGGAGCAGAAGCAAGGCAGUGAUGUCUUGUGGAUCUGCCAGAGAUAUGGAUCCUCGUGCUAGUAAUAAUGUAGAGAGGUGAGAAUCCUCUCCGUCGAAAGGGCAAGGGUUCCUUAGCGCUAAUCAUUAGCUAAGGGUUAGUCGGUCCUAAGGUUAAACGUAAACCGUUAAUAACCAAAAGGGAAACGCGUUCAUAUUCGCGUACCUUGCAGAUACGUUUUCGGCAACGAUAGUCAGAUUCCAGACGCUUUGGGCUAGGGUUUAUGCCGCUGUCGCGGUAUUUAACCUGCAUAAGUCCUUGGAGAGCCAUAAUGGCGAGAAAAGGAGUAAAGCAGGGAACAGGCGCAAGCCAAACCUGAGGCCUGGAGCCCGUGAAAAUGGAAUCUGAAAGGAUUCUGCAAGACCGUACCAAGAACCGAGAAAGGUGCCCCUGGCUGAGAAGGCCAAGACGUCUCAGGGAUUAACUCUAUCUAGGGAAUUCGGCAACAAUAGCCCUGUAUCUUAGGUAUAAGGGGUGCCUGCAAUGGAGAUUGCAGGCUGCAAUGACAAAGGGGGUCCGACUGUUUACCAAAAACACAGGUGACUGCUAGCCAGCAAUGGUGUGCAUAGUCGCUGACUCCUGCUCACUGCCAGUACGUGAAACUCCCGUCCAAGGGAACUAAGCGCUGGUGAAGAGCGGGCCUAACUCUGAGGCUCUCACGGUAGCGUAAUACCUUGUCGGUUGAAUGCCGACUUGCACCAACGGAGUAACGAGAUCCCUACUGUCCCGGAUAGAGGCCUGAUGAACUUGCUGCGCGGUGAAUAUGCCGCGGAACUCCAACGGGACGAGAAGACCCCACGGAGGUUUACCACAAUCUGAUGUUGUGGUAUAGUUUUCAAUGUGGAGCGUAGAUGGGAGCGCAGAAGCGGUUUCGCCAGGAAUCGUGGAGCAACAAUGGAACACCAUCCUUUGAAAACCAUACCGCUUACCGGCAACGGAACAGCAUUUGACUUGGUGGUUAGGCUGGGGCGGCACGCCCCUGAAAAAGUAUCAGGGGCGCCCAAAGGUUUGCUCAGGAGAGUCAGAAAUUCUCCGUAGAAUGUAAGGGUAAAAGCAAGCUUGACCAUGAACUGCAUAGCAAGGUUCGUGGAUUCGAAAGAAGGGCCUAGCGAACAUCAGUAGCGCUUUAGUGGCGCUCUGGUCUGACAGUGAACUUACCCUGGGGGUAAUCGAGUGGUCGCGGGUGAGAGUUCACAUCGACCCCGCGGUUUGCGACCUCGCCGUCGGCUCUUGGUAUCCUGGCUGUGCAUAAGCAGCCAAGGGUGCAGGUGUUAACUGAUUAAAACCGAACGUUAGUUGGGUUAAGAACGGUGCGAGCCAGUUUGGUUACUAUCUGUUGGAGUUGUCGGGUGUCUGAGGGGAAGGAGCGCUGAGUACGAGAGGAACGGCGCCUCGUGGCCUCUGGUUAACCAGUUGUCUGACAAGGCAUCGCUGGGUAGCUACGCCAUAGCUUAUAAGAGCUGAAAGCAUCUAAGCUCGAAGAAGCCCCUGAAAAGAGACACCCAUUCCCGAAACUUCAAGGGUAAAACUUUGAAGGCUAGGGACGAGGGCUCCGGCAAAAGACCGGGUUGAUAGGUUGGAAGUGUAAGAUUCAAGCUUCGGCGAGAAUUUAAGCCCACCAAUACUAAAAGCCCGAGAGAACUCCUAAA